GGGGCUGCUGCAUGUCCAAUACAGGAAAGACACAUAUUGAAAGACAGCAAGGUAAGCGGAGAAUGGAUAAAAACCCAUUAUAUCUAUAAUGCUUGUUAUUCACUCUUCUUUGCACUGUACCCAGGUGAACAAGAGUUUCUCAUCUGGGGCCACAGGGUACUCAAAUUGCCAGGAUCUAAUAACAGGAGAAUCUGAGUACUUGCAGGAACGGACAGAGGUAAAGAGAAGCACCUUGCCCACUUUCCUCUCUGCACUGGUUGACUGGAUAUCCCAGAUGGAGGACACAUCCCUGACGGAGGAGGAGGUAGAGCUGGCCAACCGGCAAGAGAGGUCUGCCAUUCAACUACCUCGAGCAUGGGAAAAGUCCCCCUGCAGGAACUUAUUCCGGAAGACUUUCUCCUCCUGCUAACAAAAUAGCUUCCUGAAGCUCUAUUUUAGAGUGGCUUUAGCAACAGCUGCCUCCAUCAGAAUGAAUAUUAUCAGUGACUGCUUCUCUGUGAACAAAUACUAUCUCUUUGUAAUAAGUGUGAUUAGUCUCUCUCUCCCCAUCCUCAUUCUCUAAUAAAAACUGAAUAGAAAUGUAUAGACAGAAAUAAUUUUAUGAUUGAAAUGGAGUGCAAAUAUAGAGACUGAGCAUCUUGAAAA
Molecule: long non-coding RNA, 645 nt
Organism: Caretta caretta (loggerhead turtle)
Lineage: Eukaryota; Metazoa; Chordata; Testudines; Cheloniidae
Source: RefSeq, a predicted model, not a curated record